RNAcentral lists this ribosomal RNA (1059 nucleotides) under Triticum aestivum (bread wheat). RNAcentral's name for it is "partial small subunit ribosomal RNA". Lineage: Eukaryota; Viridiplantae; Streptophyta; Magnoliopsida; Poales; Poaceae. The record is from RNAcentral.
AUGCCACCUUCCGUGCACGACACGGAAGGCCUGCCGUUCAUGAAGCAUGGUUGUGUCUUCCGUGCACACCGCCGGAUGAAUGACAUGCUGGGACACGCGAUCCCUGAUUUAUGCCGCUUCAGCUUGGAUGAGUCUCCAUCGUGUGGAACCGGACCAGAAAGCCGCGACAAUGAUUCCCGUUGCCCACCGCUAUGGAUCAUGCCAUCCUUGAAGAACACCUGGGACUGGAACCUGGAGGAGGACAUACCCACAUGUCAUCGGUGUAACUAUGUACACUCUGAAGGACGGUAUAUCCUGGUAGUAGUAGUAGAAUUGAGAUUUAAUGCACUUUCUUCCCCGUCUUCCACUCUUCUUCUUCCUCUCUUCUUCUUCCUCCUCUCUUCCCCAUCGUCGGCCGCACACCAUUUCCCCCUGCUCACUACUCGCCCGCCCGUGCUAUCUUCCUUGCAGAUGCAAAUGCGCUGCCUUCAUGAUUCCAGGACCUGGAAUCAUACCAGCCGAUGGUACCAUAUAACUGGUAUUAACCCAUGCAAGUCGAAGAAAGAUUGGCCGGUGCUGCCGGCUGGCAUCAAGGUCGAUCCCACGGAUCAGGAGCUGAUCGAGCACCUUGAGGCCGAAGUCAGUGCUAACAGCGCGAGAUCUCACCCUCUCAUCGAUUUGUUCAUACCAACCAUCGACAGCGAGCAUGGCAUAUGCUACACCCAUCCUGAGAAACUUCCAGGUAUCACACUGAGUGGCCUAAGCAAGCAUUUCUUCCAGCGCAAUUCCAGGUCGUUCAAAAGGGGCACGUGGACGCGUCGCAAGAUACAGUCGGAGUGCGGCAUGCACGCGAUGUGGCACAACACCGACAAUACCUUGCCGGUGAUGGUCAACGGCCAGCAGACGGGCAGCAAAAAGGUUCUGGUGCUGCACACCAACAAGAACUUCGACCAGCAGAGGACCAACUGGGUGAUGCACCCGUACCACCUCGGGGACCUGGAGCAAGAGAAGGAGCGGGAGCGGUCCUCUGCAAGAUUUUCUACCAGACGAACACUAGGGCCAGGAGUAAAAAGAUUAUAA